UGAACGCUGGCGGCGUGCCUAAUACAUGCAAGUCGAGCGAACAGACGAGGAGCUUGCUCCUCUGACGUUAGCGGCGGACGGGUGAGUAACACGUGGAUAACCUACCUAUAAGACUGGGAUAACUUCGGGAAACCGGAGCUAAUACCGGAUAAUAUAUUGAACCGCAUGGUUCAAUAGUGAAAGACGGUUUUGCUGUCACUUAUAGAUGGAUCCGCGCCGCAUUAGCUAGUUGGUAAGGUAACGGCUUACCAAGGCAACGAUGCGUAGCCGACCUGAGAGGGUGAUCGGCCACACUGGAACUGAGACACGGUCCAGACUCCUACGGGAGGCAGCAGUAGGGAAUCUUCCGCAAAGGGCGAAAGCUUGACGGAGCAACGCCGCGUGAGUGAUGAAGGUCUUCGGAUCGUAAAGCUCUGUUAUUAGGGAAGAACAAAUGUGUAAGUAACUAUGCACGUCUUGACGGUACCUAAUCAGAAAGCCACGGCUAACUACGUG
This 495-nucleotide ribosomal RNA is filed under the name uncultured bacterium. Its description in RNAcentral is "partial 16S ribosomal RNA". It matches the Rfam family "Bacterial small subunit ribosomal RNA", at positions 30 to 507 of the family's 1533-position model. The record is from RNAcentral.